CCUACGGGAGGCAGCAGUGGGGAAUAUUGCACAAUGGGGGAAACCCUGAUGCAGCGACGCCGCGUGAGUGAAGAAGUAUUUCGGUAUGUAAAGCUCUAUCAGCAGGGAAGAAGAAAGACGGUACCUGACUAAGAAGCCCCGGCUAACUACGUGCCAGCAGCCGCGGUAAUACGUAGGGGGCAAGCGUUAUCCGGAUUUACGGGGUGUAAAGGGAGCGUAGACGGCUGUGCAAGUCUGAAGUGAAAGGCCAGGGCUCAACCCUGGGACUGCUUUGGAAACUGUGGGGCUAGAGUGCUGGAGAGGUAGGUGGAAUUCCUGGUGUAGCGGUGAAAUGCGUAGAUAUUAGGAGGAACACCGGUGGCGAAGGCGGCUUACUGGACAGUAACUGACGUUGAGGCUCGAAAGCGUGGGGAGCAAACAGGAUUAGAUACCCUGGUAGUC
This 441-nucleotide ribosomal RNA is filed under the name uncultured bacterium. RNAcentral's name for it is "partial 16S ribosomal RNA". It matches the Rfam family "Bacterial small subunit ribosomal RNA", at positions 338 to 795 of the family's 1533-position model. The record is from RNAcentral.